GCAUUUCCAGAUUUCGACCGCUAGUCGAAAUGGCUGGUGACUUUAUUGUCACCGGCCU
Marinomonas posidonica IVIA-Po-181 is the source of this 58-nucleotide non-coding RNA. NCBI's taxonomy places the organism in Bacteria, Pseudomonadati, Pseudomonadota, Gammaproteobacteria, Oceanospirillales, Oceanospirillaceae. The record is from Rfam.